CGAGAUGUAGCGCAGUUAGGUAGCGCGCUUGGUUCGGGACCAAGAGGUCAUGGGUUCAAAUCCCAUUAUCUCGACCA
This 77-nucleotide transfer RNA is filed under the name Tenericutes bacterium ADurb.BinA124. RNAcentral's name for it is "tRNA-Pro". It matches the Rfam family "tRNA". Rfam says of the family: Transfer RNA (tRNA) molecules are approximately 80 nucleotides in length. Their secondary structure includes four short double-helical elements and three loops (D, anti-codon, and T loops). Lineage: Bacteria; Bacillati; Mycoplasmatota. RNAcentral also lists the same sequence under 1 other name. The record is from RNAcentral.